This 74-nucleotide transfer RNA is filed under the name Candidatus Equimonas enterica. Its description in RNAcentral is "tRNA-Arg". It matches the Rfam family "tRNA". Rfam says of the family: Transfer RNA (tRNA) molecules are approximately 80 nucleotides in length. Their secondary structure includes four short double-helical elements and three loops (D, anti-codon, and T loops). The record is from RNAcentral. Lineage: Bacteria; Pseudomonadati; Bacteroidota; Bacteroidia; Bacteroidales; Bacteroidaceae.
GGCUCGCUAGCUCAACUGAAUAGAGCAUCUGACUACGGAUCAGAAGGUUGUGGGUUUGAAUCCCGCGCGAGUCA